Molecule: ribosomal RNA, 116 nt
Filed under: Pteropus alecto (black flying fox)
Lineage: Eukaryota; Metazoa; Chordata; Mammalia; Chiroptera; Pteropodidae
Source: RNAcentral
GUCUAUGUCCAUGCCACCCUGAACAAGCCCAAUGUCUGAUCUUGGAAGCUAAGCAGGGCCGGGCCUGGUUAGUACUUGGAUGGGAGACCUCCUAGGAAGACCAGAUGCUGUAAGCA